Long non-coding RNA from Macadamia integrifolia, 449 nucleotides. RefSeq lists it as uncharacterized. The transcript has 2 exons. NCBI's taxonomy places the organism in Eukaryota, Viridiplantae, Streptophyta, Magnoliopsida, Proteales, Proteaceae. The record is from RefSeq and is a predicted model, not a curated record.
CCGCACCCGCGGCAGACAAUCAUUACUCCCACUCAUCCUUCAGUUAACCUCUGAAAACCUGAGAAUGGAUUAUUGUCCUCCGGAUGAGGCCUUGACAAAGAGAGCUACUUAACAGCUUGAAGAACAAACCAUAUAAUUAAUUGCAGGGACAAAUCAAUGUUCUUUUCUUCAAUCCUGAACCUCUUCAGGAAAUGGAAAAAAACAUCCACCAGCCUCAAAAUCUUCGUACUUUAGACCUCGAAGUUCCUAACAAAUUGGACCGUUCGAUGAAAUAGUGACCUGCAUCAAUAUGAAUUUCAGGAGUUGGCAAACUUAUGUCCAAUGCCCCAACAAAAGGAAGUAUUUCAUCAAAUAUCUUGUGUAUUUUAGUAUUCAAGCAUCCCAACUCAGUGCUUGAGUUUCUCAAUAUCACUUGUUUGACUGUUGUUUUCAGUGAUUGGCUACAUUGG